CUUUCUUAUGUAAAUUCGCGGGAAAACGAUAUUCAACCACCCAUGCAUAGCACUUUCUAUUAUACGAAGAAUUUCCAAACCGUCUCUGAUGGCAUCACAACUCUUGAAAGGUUCUACCAAAAAGCCAUAAUCUAUACCACGGUUCCAAUUCGUUUUCAUGUUCAGCGACGCAUUAGUUUAGAGUUCGACCUCAAAAAGAAAAAUUGUAAUCGUGUGUGACUGGAUAUUCCUCGGGUCGAUGCCUUACUUUUGCCCCGAAGACAAUUGCUACCGUCUAGUCCUUCCGCAUUGGGGAGGCAACCAACCUUUAGGGUAGUAAGAUAAGUGACACGACAAAUUUGCAUCUACCGCGCGUCUACGGAAUGUCCGAUAAUGCGCACAAUUUUCAAUAUACAAUGCUGUUGUGUCAGCACAUGCUCACCCUCAAUUACGAAUUGAACGAUGAUGUCCUGUAGUAUAGUAGGUUCACGGUUCUUUUCCGCGAGCAAAAUGUUUUUUUUUUCCAUUAUAUUAUCUUCGAAACGAUACAGAGAACAAAAUAAAAAAAAAAA
This is a long non-coding RNA of Monomorium pharaonis (pharaoh ant), 551 nucleotides long. RefSeq lists it as uncharacterized. The record is from RefSeq and is a predicted model, not a curated record. The transcript has 2 exons. NCBI's taxonomy places the organism in Eukaryota, Metazoa, Arthropoda, Insecta, Hymenoptera, Formicidae.